Molecule: ribosomal RNA, 1243 nt
Filed under: metagenome
Description: bacterial LSU rRNA
Rfam family: Bacterial large subunit ribosomal RNA
Source: RNAcentral
UGAAUACGAGAUGCUACGGCGUCGAAGCAGUGUAUGUCAGACUUCCAAGAAAAGCUCGCAAUGUCAUAAAUAAAGAAUGCCUGUACCAUAACCGACACAGGUGGGUAGGUAGAGUAUACUAAGGGGCGCGAGAUAACUCUCUCUAAGGAACUCGGCAAAAUAACUCCGUAACUUCGGGAGAAGGAGUGCCUUCUUUAUGAAGGUUGCAAUAACAAGAUCCAAGCAACUGUUUAUCAAAAACACAGGUCUCCGCUAAGUCGUAAGACGAUGUAUGGGGGCUGACGCCUGCCCAGUGCCAGAAGGUUAAAGAAGUUGGUUAGCUUUUGCGAAGCUGAUGACUGAAGCCCUGGUGAACGGCGGCCGUAACGAUAACGGUCCUAAGGUAGCGAAAUUCCUUGUCGGGUAAGUCCCGACCCGCACGAAAGGCGUAAUGAUUUGGAUACUGUUUCGGAGAGGGACUCGGUGAAAUAGACUUGUCUGUGAAGAUGCGGACUACCUGCACCAGGACAGAAAGACCCUAUGAAGCUUUACUGUAACUUGAAAUUGAAAUUGGACUUUAUUUGCGCAGUAUAGGUGGAAGGCGUUGAAAGUAAUCUUGCGGGAUUAGUGGAGCCAUUAGUGAGAUACCACUCCUAUAAUGUUAGAUUUCUAACUUUGGAUCAUGAUCUGGUCAAAGAACAGUUUCAGGCGGGCAGUUUGACUGGGGCGGUCGCCUCCCAAAUGGUAACGGAGGCGUACAAAGGUAUCCUCUGAACGGGUAGAAAUCGUAUCUAGAGUGUAAAGGCAUAAGGAAGCUUGACUGUGAGACCUACAAGUCGAGCAGGGACGAAAGUCGGUCUUAGUGAUCUGACGGUGCUGAGUGGAAAGGCCGUCACUCAACGGAUAAAAGUUACUCUAAGGAUAACAGGCUGAUCUCCCCCAAGAGUUCACAUCGACGGGGAGGUUUGGCACCUGGAUGUCGGCUCAUCGCAUCCUGGGGCGGUAGUACGUCCCAAGGGUUGGGCUGUUCGCCCAUGAAAGCGGUACGCGAGCUGGGUUCAGAACGUCGUGAGACAGUUCGGUCCAUAUCCGGUGUAGGCGUUAGAAUAUUGAGAGGAGCCUUCUUUAGUACGAGAGGACCGAGAAGGACAUACCUCUGGUGUACCAGUUAUCGUGCCAACGGUAAACGCUGGGUAGCUAUGUAUGGAGAGGAUAACCGCUGAAAGCAUCUAAGUGGGAAGCCCACCUCAAGAUGAGUAUUCAC